RNAcentral lists this ribosomal RNA (397 nucleotides) under uncultured bacterium. RNAcentral's name for it is "partial 16S ribosomal RNA". It matches the Rfam family "Bacterial small subunit ribosomal RNA", at positions 523 to 918 of the family's 1533-position model. The record is from RNAcentral.
AUACGUAGGGGGCGAGCGUUGUCCGGAAUGAUUGGGCGUAAAGGGCGCGUAGGCGGCCCGGUAAGUCUGGAGUGAAAGUCCUGUUUUUAAGAUGGGAAUUGCUUUGGAUACUGUCGGGCUUGAGUGCAGGAGAGGUAAGUGGAAUUCCCAGUGUAGCGGUGAAAUGCGUAGAGAUUGGGAGGAACACCAGUGGCGAAGGCGACUUACUGGACGGUAAGUGACGCUGAGGCGCGAAAGUGUGGGGAGCAAACAGUAGUAGAUACCCUGGUAGUCCACACUGUAAACGAUGAAUGCUAGGUGUAGGGGGUAUCGACCUCUUCUGUGCCGCAGUCAACACAAUAAGCAUUCCGCCUGGGGAGUACGGCAGCAAGGUUGAAACUCAAAUGAAUUGACGGGG